AAUACGUUCCCGGACCUUGCACACACCGCCCGUCAAGCCAUGGAAGUGGGGUGUACCUUAAGACGAUCACCGCAAGGAAUUGUCCAAAGGUAAAACUCGUAACUGGGGCU
RNAcentral lists this ribosomal RNA (110 nucleotides) under uncultured bacterium. RNAcentral describes it as "partial 16S ribosomal RNA". It matches the Rfam family "Bacterial small subunit ribosomal RNA", at positions 1365 to 1482 of the family's 1533-position model. The record is from RNAcentral.